This 451-nucleotide ribosomal RNA is filed under the name uncultured bacterium. RNAcentral's name for it is "bacterial SSU rRNA". It matches the Rfam family "Bacterial small subunit ribosomal RNA", at positions 28 to 475 of the family's 1533-position model. The record is from RNAcentral.
GACGAACGCUGGCGGCGUGCCUAACACAUGCAAGUCGAACGGAACUUCUUUAAAGGAUUUCUUCGGAAUGAAUUUGAUUAAGUUUAGUGGCGGACGGGUGAGUAACGCGUGAGUAACCUGCCUCUGAGAGGGGAAUAACAUUCUGAAAAGAAUGCUAAUACCGCAUAAUAUAUAUUUAUCGCAUGGUAGAUAUAUCAAAGAUUUAUCGCUUAGAGAUGGACUCGCGUCCGAUUAGUUAGUUGGUGAGGUAACGGCUCACCAAGACCGCGAUCGGUAGCCGGACUGAGAGGUUGAACGGCCACAUUGGGACUGAGACACGGCCCAGACUCCUACGGGAGGCAGCAGUGGGGGGUAUUGCGCAAUGGGGGAAACCCUGACGCAGCAACGCCGCGUGAAGGAUGAAGGUCUUCGGAUUGUAAACUUCUUUUAUUAAGGACGAAGAAAGUGACGG